Long non-coding RNA from Maniola jurtina (meadow brown), 878 nucleotides. RefSeq lists it as uncharacterized. The record is from RefSeq and is a predicted model, not a curated record. Lineage: Eukaryota; Metazoa; Arthropoda; Insecta; Lepidoptera; Nymphalidae. The transcript is spliced from 3 exons.
GAAUAGUUAUAGGUACUCGUAGGUAUUAGAAAUCACGUCAUGCAUUGCCAGACACUAGUACCGUGUCAGAGGAUUGCCACGAUACUAAUUAUAAUGCUUGACGUGAAUUUUAGUACUACGUACUGAAGAAAAUAUAAAAAAAAAACACUUUUCACUUUGACGAAAGACUUUGUACACCUUUGCCUCUUUCUGUCAAUGCCACGAUGAUCCAAACUUCAUAGUUCCUCCCUGUGUGAUGGCAAUGCGCAGAGUUUCAGCUUUUAGAAAAUAACGAAGGUCUGGUCCUCACACUUCUCUCUACAAUGUACCUACUUACUAAGAGUACCUAGGCUGUUUCGUUUAAAUAGGUUAGGAAUAUUAUUAUUAUUUUUAUUCACUGAAAUAGACAUUGUAAAGCAAUCGAGUCCUGAAAUAAUUGAGUACGAAUAUGCAUUGUUUCUAGGUGAACGCGUUUCUGGCGAUACCUUGUCAUAUGUUUACGUUGGCAUGGUGCCAGCUUAUCAACCACACUACAACUUCAGUGUUAAACUACCAUUUCUUGGUUCUUUGAGUAAGGAUACACAAUUGACAUAUUUAAGAGUACAUUAUUCAAAUCCCCUGUCUAAAGUAAAUGUAUCUUACAAUCCUGAGAUCUCGAUGCUAGAGUUUUUUAUAAAAUAUCCAUUCAUGUCUUUUCCAUUUGGCAUUGACGCAUAUUCCUACAAAGUACCUAGGUAUUCAUAAAAAUAAAUAACUCAAGCAGUGAAAUCGUGCAAAAUUCCGUUACUAGGUAGGUAUACUUAAGGGUAGUCCUGUAAUCAAUUAAAUGCACCUAAUAAAACCUAUGUAUUGAACCUAUGUAUAUGCAAUGAAUGAAUAAUGUUACUUGAAAUACUAUC